Gasterosteus aculeatus aculeatus (three-spined stickleback) is the source of this 334-nucleotide long non-coding RNA. NCBI's taxonomy places the organism in Eukaryota, Metazoa, Chordata, Actinopteri, Perciformes, Gasterosteidae. The record is from Ensembl.
CUCUUACACACAAUCCGAGCACAAGAAUUCACAGCAUCUCACACAGACUUGGAAUCCCUGCAAUGACGGAUGAGACAAAAACAAGGAGGGUCUCUGGCAGCAUCUGUUCAUUCAGGAAUAAGAAGCAACUCGGAAAAUAUAUCUGCAUGGAGGCUGACGAGGUGCAGGAAUGUGAAGAAGCAGUCAUGAUUCAUUCCAGAGCGUGCAUUGAUUACACGCCAAAUGAACAUACGUUGCAUGCUAAUUUCCUUCCCGGGUCCUCGAGAGCAAACACCACUGUGAGAGUACGCAGUGUAAACACCUCCAUAGCAAUAACACGUCGGUGCUGAGCCAC